GUUGUUGCCAUGGUAAUCCUGCUCAGCAGGACGAAGUGCAGGUUCUGACAUUUGGUGUAUGUGCUUGGCUGAGGAGCCAAUGGGGCCAAGCUACCAUCUGUGGAUGAUGACUGAAUCCUGCCCAGGUGGAACAGU
This 135-nucleotide non-coding RNA is filed under the name Camelus bactrianus (Bactrian camel). The record is from Rfam by way of RNAcentral. RNAcentral also lists the same sequence under 1 other name. Lineage: Eukaryota; Metazoa; Chordata; Mammalia; Artiodactyla; Camelidae.